UAAAAAAAAAUUAAAAGAACAAGAGUUAAACAGAGAGGAAAAACAGAGAGGAAAGAACGGAUCUGUAGGAUUAAAAAGUGAGUCACAUACCAGACCUGGGUCUUCUUCUUCAAGCUUUCUUCCUUAAAAUCUCUUUCAAUUACUUUGAGCCAUGAAAAGCUGAAAUCUCAGCUCCAGAAAACGUAGCUACCGUAGCCCCUUUUCACCCCAAACCCGCCAUGAAAACUUAAAUCCUUACCUCCACAACAUUACCAAAGAUAGUUAAGGUUUCUGAGUCGAGGCUACCAUUCGAUAUCGUCGAGGUCACCACGAUGCUGAGAAUAAAGUUGAUUCGCUAGAGGGCUUAAAUACUUUUAACCCGUACUCACUUUCAAUACACGAGACUCUAAUUUUUAAUCCAUACAUAUUUUUAACCAUGACAAGCAGCAAUGAUGAAAUUAUGUGAAGAGGGUAGAUCAUGUUUGUCAAAAGAAUUCAAGUCAAAAGGGGAAAAUUGUUAGGAUUUUAUCCUGAUGUAUAUGAAUUUUACCUUUUCUUGAAGGAAGAAAAAAGACUUUACCAUAAUUGAUUCUACUUUUUCUAUGAGAAAAAUACAUAUCUCUUCCACAUUUAAGAGAUUCCUUUUUUGGAAGAAAAGGCUGUGACCUCUAUAAAUUGA
Long non-coding RNA from Nicotiana tabacum (common tobacco), 658 nucleotides. RefSeq lists it as uncharacterized. NCBI's taxonomy places the organism in Eukaryota, Viridiplantae, Streptophyta, Magnoliopsida, Solanales, Solanaceae. The record is from RefSeq and is a predicted model, not a curated record.